AACUUCGUUCGAAUCACACAGAACAAAUUAUCAGUCCGAAAUUAGUUUAUUUCGGUCUAUUAUUCUUGCCCGGAUCCAAAUCUUCGAAUGUAAACAAGUAUUAAAUAAUUUGGUUCCUACUCGUCCACCGUGAAAUCGCGUACGAGAAUCCAUAAUUGAGCCUCGAUUCACUGGUAAAUCAUCCGUGACCGUGGAACCAGAUGUUCAGACCGCAGGUAAAUUUAUCAGAUCUUUGAAUCAAUUCAAACACAGUCUAUAAUAGUUUGGCCAAUAUCGUUUUGGCACGUUCUGUUUGCAUCUCAUUUAGACUUAAAUUCCAGAACUCAAUUAUCUGUGUUCUCUCGUAAAGACAAAGUGGGAAACUAGAAAAUUGUUUUUCUCAAAUAUCUCCACCGUAUAGGUCAUCCACAUCCAGUGCAUGUGUUCAGCUCCCUGGAGAUUUUUAUUCUCCACGCGUCUGCACUUCCUUGCGAUCCUCUCCACGUCUGGACGUCUGGUGCAUGGAUCCCUCGCCAUCAGCCUUAUCCCACGGCUGAUUUUUUUGUCUUCACAACAGAUUUUCUUUCCUCAGCCUCAUCCUCACGUCUCUCUCUGUUAGAUUUUUUUCAAGUCGUGUUCAUCUUCUACAGCCGCCGCCCCUGGAUUUCUACAAAUCCACCACCGAGCGUUCCACUCUCCUCCUGAGCUCCUCCAGCCAGCUCGCCCUCCCAACUCCUGCCGCACUGAGCUCAUUGCACGCUCCUGUGCCCCUGCCUCGUCUAGCUCCAGCGCUCGGUGUCCCUCAGCCCAGCUGUGUCUACGUGCUGCUCGCUCCGAGCUCCCUGUGCCAUGGCGUCAGCCGCAGUUCACCGCGCUCGGCCUCCCGUCUUGCCGCGAGUCCCGGCUCGAAUCUCCAUGGCCGCAGGCCUCUGGUGCCGCGCGCGUGCCCUUGUCAUGGUCCUGCGCGUCCUGCGUCUUCUUCCCCGAGCUCGGCCGCCGAGCUCUCUGCGCGCGACUCUGCUCUUCUGGGUGCGCGCCUGGGUCCCUGCUGAGCUCGGCGUCUAUCUCUCUAUAGCUCUAGUUUUUCCCCAGCACGCUUUCUUCCCUGCUCGGCCAUGGGAGCCGCGCCGUCGACCCUGCCUGAAUCCCCUCGGCCACGUCUUCCUUCUUGCUCCUUGCGCGAGCCGCAACCCUCUGACCAGUCCCAGCCGAACUCCCUCCAGUCCAACCGCUGCUCCUGGCUCGCCCGUCCGUGCGGCACUUCGUCUAUAGCCGCUGUCCGCCGUCGAGUUCCUGUACGCGCGCCUCUGGUUCGCCACUGCUCUCUGCGCGCGCGCUCUGCUCGGCCUCUAUGGCGCUCGACGUUUAGAUUUUCUGCGUGCAGCUUCCUCAAAUCACCGUGUGCCUAGCUCGCUCCAGCUCGCCGGUCGAGUUUCUCCCUCGCGUUCAGACCCGGCCGUUAACGCCCAGUCAUGUGUUCUUUUUCCCCAGCUCGGAUCUCAUCAGCCACCGUUCUCUAACCCGUGUCUCGGUCGGCAUCGUGGAGUUUUGGUUGAUUGGCUCGCCGUUGACCUCGUCGGUGUCGUCGAACACUCAAUCUCGUUGAACCCCGAAUCCCGGACGUUAGGCAAAAAUAAGCGAGGUCCGUGUGCAUCGCUCAUCAAGUGCUCGACACAAAGAGCUGAAUCAGAAUCCUUGCCGUGUUCGCGGAUAGCGCGUCAGAUUUAGAAUGGUACGAUAAUUAAUCACGUGAUGCGGAAGAUGACCCAAGUCGACCCCAAGCGCGGGCUACUCCGCAUGGAGAUGCUGAUGAACGAACCUGCCUGAUCAAGUGCUAGAACAAGGAUGAUCGCUAAGUGGACGUCGUCUAACAACACUAACCUAGUGUUACCCAGGCAAGCCCCGGUGCAUGCAACCCCUUCCUUGUGUUUUUAAAUUAUUUUUGCACACUUUAAGUCUAGUGAAAUGUGCAUUAGGUUUAUAGAAGUUGCUUGGAAACCCUUUGAUGCAUUGGCUACCUUGAAAUCCAUUCCUUUUAUAGAUACUUCUGGUGAAGUAUCAAAAUAUAAUUUACAAAAAAUGCUUAGCCCUGCUUAUAAGCAGAUAGAGUUUGUCCUUUGCACUUAUGCCUAGCUCAGGUUUAUCCUGAGGAAGGAUGACUUCUACCUGCAAGAAUAUUUUCAGUGGGAGCAUGGUGGGAUCUUACUGCAAAGUUCCCUAUAAUGCUCUUUUCAUCCUUAGGAACACAAAACAAUCCUAAGGGUGGAAGUACUUAACUCGAGACUUGGGCUAGGAACAAGUGAUGUUCCGUCCGGGUCAAUUAAGGAUUGGAUGCGUAUGUAGGCCUGAUAGAUCAAGGACUAUCUUAACUAGCCACAUGCCCUGGAAAUGGGACAGGGUAAGCUUGAACCCGGCUAUUCCAUACGUGAAAAGACAACCGCGCACUGGGCGUGGGAGAUGGUGGGAGUAGCGUGUGCCCUCCUGGCUAGAGGCUGGAUGGAGGAGUACUGUGCUCCCGGGUAGCGCGGACCGGUUCACGUUGUGGAGGAUCUGUGGGAACGGUUGACAUAUGCAAGGGUUAAGUGCUACAUAUGUCGUGUGGUUAGAGAUCCUCAGCUGAGUAAAUCGAUUCGGAUCGCCGUUAUAUCCCCGGAGAGUGGAGACUUGAUCACUGACCUGCAACCUAAGUCGGGAUGUGAACCUCAUGAAUAAAAAUGAUGUUGUAUUGAUGAGAUGGUGAAAUUAGACCAGAUGCAAACAGAGUCUAUUAAUAUUUAAUCUGGCGUUAAAAUAUUGAAAGUAAGGACUCACUUUAGUAAGUUAUUUCUGCAAAAGUAUCUAAGUUGAUUCUUGCUAAAGCCUCUCCUUAAUUCCCAAAUCCAGCAUACCCUUGAGAGUCUUUUCUUUAGUCGGGUAAGUCUUGCUGAGUAAUUCCAUACUCAGGGUUUUAUUCCCUGUUGUUUUUCAGGUCAUAGUUUUGUGCUGCUGAUGAUGGUGUUAAAUGCCGGUGGGCUCGGCCUUCUUAUAAGUCUAAGUAAUCCUUCUAUACUUCUUAAUGAGGAUGGUCCCUUGAGCUAGCAUAUAUUUUAAACUUAUACUUUUGCAAUCACUCCGAUAAAAUAAUGUAAAAUUUUUGUAACUUGUAAAAUUUGGUAACAAGAUUUCCGCUGCAAAAAUAUUGGUGUGUGUGAUUUGUGUUACUUAAUCCCGCGGUUCUGGUUGUAAGUGGUUUAUCUGAGGUCCUUGGGACACUCGGACGGAUCCUGUUAAGUUAUUUGGUGCACAUGCAUAGCCGUCUGAGGUCUUUGAGACAAGGACAGGUGCAUGUGGGCCCAAUAACUUGGGAGGUUCUGCCACAGCUGGUAUCGGAGCAGGAUUAAGUUUAUACGGUCACAUACGUAUUUUCAAAACAAAAGUUUUGGUUUUAGAAAACCUAUUUUCAACUAAACCCAUAGUUUGGUUUUGAAAAACAGAUUUGAAAAACUAUAAUGCUAGCGACAUCCUCUGUUAAGCCCUAAAGUAAGGACUAUCAGGUGGCUUAGUUGAAAACCAUAACCCAUAAGGCCUAGUUUGGAUACUUUGGGAUUAGAGUGUUUUGGAGGGAUUGGAGAGGAUGUAAAUCCCCAAUAGAUCAAAUACUCUCUCAAUACAUCUCAAUCCACUUCAAACCUACUCAUUACUAGAGUACCCAAACUAGGCCUAACCGGGUGGGUAUUGCAUACAUGUGUAUUGUUAUUUUUGAGGCCAUUCAAUUGUGGAUGGAUCGACACUCAAGGUAAGGUGAGAUGUGAGAGUAUGACCGAACAACCGUCGGUCUAGGGGAGUGCUUAAUUGUGGCGCUUGAUUAUAUACAUGUUUUACAUAUGUAUAUAUGAAGGCUGCGAUGUGGAGUAAUUACUUUUCCGAGAAUUCAGUACCCCAUAGAUGUGUAUGGGUAUACAGACAUGGGAAUACUGAGAAGUGUAAUGUACUUGUAACGACGCACCUACGCCCAGGUAAGAAGGUGAGUUACCAUAAUGAGUUGCCCUAUGGUAAAAGUGUGGCAACGGCGCCUAUGCGUGGCUCGGCGCUUAAUGAUGAGCUGGCCUCCAUAUAGCAAUAUAUGGAGUAUAAACUGUGAUAAACUGUCAUGUAUGGAUUGCAUCAUUGGGAAAUGGGCUGUGAUGGAAAUUUUCUGCAGGUACACUAACCUCGAAAACGUAUGUGUAGUUGACGACUAGAAAAAUACCGUGAGAGUCGUAAGAAUGCCACCGAUAUAGAACGUUAUUGCCACAUUUGGUUGGCAAAAUCAGUGAGGACGUGUAGGACGAGCAUGCAUCCUGAUUGUUGCAUCAUGUUUGUCACCUAUACACCCAAAAUGCUUCUCUUGCCUCUAUUCCAGUAACCAUUGAUUGUAGAUAAUGUGGUGUAGUGUUGAAUUAUGAACUUCGAUGAAAUAGGUGUCCUCCAUUCUUUAGGUAACCUAUUAAGGUCUUAUAUGGUGUUUGCUCUUGUGCUUGAUGUGUCGAUAGAAGGUUAGUAACUUGUUUGCUUAAACCCAGAAUUAGGCCAUGUUCUUAUUUAGUGAUUCAUGACCCAAAACUUAAAAUUUUCCGUUAUCACUCCAGGACCAAACACAUAAAAAUAAAUGCCUAGAUAAUUUCUUUGUUGAACAUAAAAUGUACCCAAGCUUAAAACAAGGAUCUCGAGUCUGUAUUCUUGGUAAUUAGCUUAUAACUCUUUUAUGGUCCUAUUUCCAACCAAAACCAUGCCUUUACUUUGUUGGUGAAAGCUGAUGUCCCUUAUCUAGUUUGUCUGUUCUUAAGGAUCGCCAUGUUGCUUUACCAACCUAACCUAAGGAAGACGUACCCAAUCUUUUUUCUUGAGUUGAUGCCUUUGGUUUCCCCAUAUCUAUCAAAGGCAUAUCAACUUAAUCCUUGACCUCGUAAUCUCUGCGAUGGGCAUAGAAAUAUGCUUGGGGCUGAAUUAACAGUCUCCCAUCGUACUCCCUUCGUCAUCCAAGUUAGGUUAUGGCCAUGUCUUGUUCAUUCAUCGGGCUGUGAUCUAUGAUUGGCUCUCUACUUGUAACCAUUCUUACAAGUGGAGUCUAUUUUUGUAUAUUGUCAUUCUUGCUCAAUCCAGUUGUGUUGUGCGAGAUUUCUUAUUGGUUACGUCUAAUAAUGGUGUUAUGACUAAAACCGCUGGUGCCGUGACGAAACCGAGGGCCUCCGGUGAAUGUACACACAUGGUUGCGCUACUUGGCACGCGCUGGUAUCACAGUUAGUAGUCAUAAUCCAUUAUGAGACUACAUCAAUGUGUUAUCUUAGCACAAUCUGUUUUUGCUACGUGAGAUUCAUUAUUGGUGUCAGUUCGGUGAUGGUGUCAUGAUUAAGGACUUAUGGUGCCGCAGUGAAACUGAGAGCCCCUUGUGAAUGUACACGCGAGGUUAUGCUGCUUGGCGCAUGCUGGUAUCAAGGUCUCUAGUCAUGAUCCAUUGUAGAACUACACUGAUGUGUGAUCUUCCGUAGAUAUCUUCCUUGAAAUAAUUUCGGUGUUGUUUGUCGAAGUGACCAAGCAACAUCUAUCAUCUUUGUUGGAUCAAAAGGGCAUACCACGUUCAUGUGUGGUCUCUUUUCCCUUGAUCUUGGUAGUGACUCCUUAUACAAGUUCCCUUUACGUCCUUUGUGUAAAGGUGAAGCCUUGGAGCUUUUAGUGUUGAGAGACAACUAAUUAGCUCUCAAAAUGGAGAUCUGUUUCCCCUGCUGCUGAAAUGCAGGAGUUUGUUCAUUCGCUCUCUCAUUUAGUCCAUAUAUUCCCUAACCAAGUCUGUUCAUCUCGCAUGAAGAAACGGAUGAACGACCUGACCAAAUGAAUUUCUAACCACAUACAUGAUCUCGUGUUAACCAGAGUGAACUCUCAACCUUUGGCUUACCGAUGGUACUGAGAGGGCUCGCUCAAUGUCAAAAGUAGUUCAACAAGUUGGUUUUACUAACUUGUAACUGCAUUGUGAACAAAGGCUGAGUUUAGAGAUCGUUCUGUCGAGUUAUCUAAACUCACUUUGGUUCAAACCAUCCUAAAGAAAGUACUUACACGGAUCAAGUUAAGUCAACCAAUAACCACCUAAUUAUCGCUCUAGUCACGCCUCGACCGCCUCACGUGUGCUUUUUCAGCGUGUGUGAUCAUGUCGAUCCAUGUCUAGUGCUUGCUAAAAUGGAUUGGUUGCAAAGACAACAUCUACAGAUCCCUCCACUGGUGAUUCUCUCGAAUCUAUAUCACCUUUCAGGGACAUGGAUUUUCUGGCUAGCCACGGGUCAACUGUGAUGUUAUUCGACAUUCACACCCGUCUCCUGUGCUAUGGAUUUACGGUAACCACUUGUUGGUAAACCUCUUUCUGUGUGUUUUACCCAAGAGGUUGCAUCUGAUUCUGUUUGGGGAAGAUCGCGUAAUUGCCACUUGCCCAAUAGACUCAGAUAGUACAGUGUCAUCAGAGAAAGCCAACUGCACCCAUGGAACCUUAUGUGUUCCUCUGGCAGACAUCGUCUCUACUGAUGGACAUAUAUGAUUUAGCUUGUGGCGAUACAUGUUAUGUCCACUAGAGAAACGAUAUUCUGAGACACUCGCCUUCGCCCAAGACUGCCUUAUGAUUAUCGCUGAUAUGGACAUGGGGUACAUGCUUCUCUACCCUUAGAAGUCUUUCACUCCGAAUCUCGGGACGAGAUUCUUUUAAGGGGGAGGGCUGUAACACCCCAGGUGUUUACCGUAUGCUCGACAACGAGUAUGGACUUAAGCACGAAAUAUCAGUGGAUAACACGGAUUUUAAAUUUUAAUCAUUCUCGCUUAUCGCGAUUUUAAUAUCGCAUCUGUUCCAUUUGUCGCGGGUGCAACAUCAUUUUUACUUCUAAUUAUCCGAGUUCUUCCGAAAUUUUCGUGCUGUUCGGAACAUCGUUGUUCCGAAAAUCGGUGUGUCCGGUGAUUAUUUAAAAUUCAUCGCUCGCGCGAAUGCGAAUUUGGAAGACCGACCCACUCGGAUGAUUUUUAUCCCAAGCAAAUUAGUUUGAACUCGACGACUAAAAUAUUUGGGGUAAAAUAAUCCAAAUCGCGCAUCGUCCGAGUGAAAUCGUGCGCGAGGUUAUGAUCCAAUUUAUCCUUCAGCACGCGGUUUUAACGACGAAAUCGCGUAUAUAUUGCGGAUCGGGUUUCGGCUAACUUCGUUCGAAUCACACAGAACAAAUUAUCAGUCCGAAAUUAGUUUAUUUCGGUCUAUUAUUCUUGCCCGGAUCCAAAUCUUCGAAUGUAAACAAGUAUUAAAUAAUUUGGUUCCUACUCGUCCACCGUGAAAUCGCGUACGAGAAUCCAUAAUUGAGCCUCGAUUCACUGGUAAAUCAUCCGUGACCGUGGAACCAGAUGUUCAGACCGCAGGUAAAUUUAUCAGAUCUUUGAAUCAAUUCAAACACAGUCUAUAAUAGUUUGGCCAAUAUCGUUUUGGCACGUUCUGUUUGCAUCUCAUUUAGACUUAAAUUCCAGAACUCAAUUAUCUGUGUUCUCUCGUAAAGACAAAGUGGGAAACUAGAAAAUUGUUUUUCUCAAAUAUCUCCACCGUAUAGGCCAUCCACAUCCAGUGCAUGUGUUCAGCUCCCUGGAGAUUUUUAUUCUCCACGCGUCUGCACUUCCUUGCGAUCCUCUCCACGUCUGGACGUCUGGUGCAUGGAUCCCUCGCCAUCAGCCUUAUCCCACGGCUGAUUUUUUUGUCUUCACAACAGAUUUUCUUUCCUCAGCCUCAUCCUCACGUCUCUCUCUGUUAGAUUUUUUUCAAGUCGUGUUCAUCUUCUACAGCCGCCGCCCCUGGAUUUCUACAAAUCCACCACCGAGCGUUCCACUCUCCUCCUGAGCUCCUCCAGCCAGCUCGCCCUCCCAACUCCUGCCGCACUGAGCUCAUUGCACGCUCCUGUGCCCCUGCCUCGUCUAGCUCCAGCGCUCGGUGUCCCUCAGCCCAGCUGUGUCUACGUGCUGCUCGCUCCGAGCUCCCUGUGCCAUGGCGUCAGCCGCAGUUCACCGCGCUCGGCCUCCCGUCUUGCCGCGAGUCCCGGCUCGAAUCUCCAUGGCCGCAGGCCUCUGGUGCCGCGCGCGUGCCCUUGUCAUGGUCCUGCGCGUCCUGCGUCUUCUUCCCCGAGCUCGGCCGCCGAGCUCUCUGCGCGCGACUCUGCUCUUCUGGGUGCGCGCCUGGGUCCCUGCUGAGCUCGGCGUCUAUCUCUCUAUAGCUCUAGUUUUUCCCCAGCACGCUUUCUUCCCUGCUCGGCCAUGGGAGCCGCGCCGUCGACCCUGCCUGAAUCCCCUCGGCCACGUCUUCCUUCUUGCUCCUUGCGCGAGCCGCAACCCUCUGACCAGUCCCAGCCGAACUCCCUCCAGUCCAACCGCUGCUCCUGGCUCGCCCGUCCGUGCGGCACUUCGUCUAUAGCCGCUGUCCGCCGUCGAGUUCCUGUACGCGCGCCUCUGGUUCGCCACUGCUCUCUGCGCGCGCGCUCUGCUCGGCCUCUAUGGCGCUCGACGUUUAGAUUUUCUGCGUGCAGCUUCCUCAAAUCACCGUGUGCCUAGCUCGCUCCAGCUCGCCGGUCGAGUUUCUCCCUCGCGUUCAGACCCGGCCGUUAACGCCCAGUCAUGUGUUCUUUUUCCCCAGCUCGGAUCUCAUCAGCCACCGUUCUCUAACCCGUGUCUCGGUCGGCAUCGUGGAGUUUUGGUUGAUUGGCUCGCUGUUGACCUCGUCGGUGUCGUCGAACCUUGAUCUUCCCUACUCAAUCUCGUUGAACCCCGAAUCCCGGACGUUAGGCAAAAAUAAGCGAGGUCCGUGUGCAUCGCUCAUCAAGUGCUCGACACAAAGAGCUGAAUCAGAAUCCUUGCCGUGUUCGCGGAUAGCGCGUCAGAUUUAGAAUGGUACGAUAAUUAAUCACGUGAUGCGGAAGAUGACCCAAGUCGACCCCAAGCGCGGGCUACUCCGCAUGGAGAUGCUGAUGAACGAACCUGCCUGAUCAAGUGCUAGAACAAGGAUGAUCGCUAAGUGGACGUCGUCUAACAACACUAACCUAGUGUUACCCAGGCAAGCCCCGGUGCAUGCAACCCCUUCCUUGUGUUUUUAAAUUAUUUUUGCACACUUUAAGUCUAGUGAAAUGUGCAUUAGGUUUAUAGAAGUUGCUUGGAAACCCUUUGAUGCAUUGGCUACCUUGAAAUCCAUUCCUUUUAUAGAUACUUCUGGUGAAGUAUCAAAAUAUAAUUUACAAAAAAUGCUUAGCCCUGCUUAUAAGCAGAUAGAGUUUGUCCUUUGCACUUAUGCCUAGCUCAGGUUUAUCCUGAGGAAGGAUGACUUCUACCUGCAAGAAUAUUUUCAGUGGGAGCAUGGUGGGAUCUUACUGCAAAGUUCCCUAUAAUGCUCUUUUCAUCCUUAGGAACACAAAACAAUCCUAAGGGUGGAAGUACUUAACUCGAGACUUGGGCUAGGAACAAGUGAUGUUCCGUCCGGGUCAAUUAAGGAUUGGAUGCGUAUGUAGGCCUGAUAGAUCAAGGACUAUCUUAACUAGCCACAUGCCCUGGAAAUGGGACAGGGUAAGCUUGAACCCGGCUAUUCCAUACGUGAAAAGACAACCGCGCACUGGGCGUGGGAGAUGGUGGGAGUAGCGUGUGCCCUCCUGGCUAGAGGCUGGAUGGAGGAGUACUGUGCUCCCGGGUAGCGCGGACCGGUUCACGUUGUGGAGGAUCUGUGGGAACGGUUGACAUAUGCAAGGGUUAAGUGCUACAUAUGUCGUGUGGUUAGAGAUCCUCAGCUGAGUAAAUCGAUUCGGAUCGCCGUUAUAUCCCCGGAGAGUGGAGACUUGAUCACUGACCUGCAACCUAAGUCGGGAUGUGAACCUCAUGAAUAAAAAUGAUGUUGUAUUGAUGAGAUGGUGAAAUUAGACCAGAUGCAAACAGAGUCUAUUAAUAUUUAAUCUGGCGUUAAAAUAUUGAAAGUAAGGACUCACUUUAGUAAGCUAUUUCUGCAAAAGUAUCUAAGUUGAUUCUUGCUAAAGCCUCUCCUUGAUUCCCAAAUCCAGCAUACCCUUGAGAGUCUUUUCUUUAGUCGGGUAAGUCUUGCUGAGUAAUUCCAUACUCAGGGUUUUAUUCCCUGUUGUUUUUCAGGUCAUAGUUUUGUGCUGCUGAUGAUGGUGUUAAAUGCCGGUGGGCUCGGCCUUCUUAUAAGUCUAAGUAAUCCUUCUAUACUUCUUAAUGAGGAUGGUCCCUUGAGCUAGCAUAUAUUUUAAACUUAUACUUUUGCAAUCACUCCGAUAAAAUAAUGUAAAAUUUUUGUAACUUGUAAAAUUUGGUAACAAGAUUUCCGCUGCAAAAAUAUUGGUGUGUGUGAUUUGUGUUACUUAAUCCCGCGGUUCUGGUUGUAAGUGGUUUAUCUGAGGUCCUUGGGACACUCGGACGGAUCCUGUUAAGUUAUUUGGUGCACAUGCAUAGCCGUCUGAGGUCUUUGAGACAAGGACAGGUGCAUGUGGGCCCAAUAACUUGGGAGGUUCUGCCACAGUAAACACAUUUAUACAUCAGAUGAUUACAGAUCUGCUUAAACGAGACAAACCUAUAAAGGUGGCGAUCAACUUUAAGAGUUGGUCCACAACUCGGGACAUAUCAUCAGAGUGGGCUGAAGCAGCCCGAUAUACGCAGCGAAGCAAAUCAGCGGUCCAACAGCCACAGGCAAGGUUGGGAACAUUCGUAACUCUUACCCGAUCUCCUUUUCUGAAAAACAACAAAUAAGCAAGGGUGAGUACAAACGUACUCAGCAGCCCACCUUCACCCGCGGAAUGGGGAAAUCAGAUAUAAUGCUGGAAUAUGUAGAUCUCAGGAUAUUUGCAGAAACAACAAUAUUUUAUGCAGGGUUGUUUUGAAAAACAUUUUGUAUUUUGCAAAGUGCAUCCUCUCCAAAAGGAGCAGGAAGUUUUUCAAUAUUAGAACAAAAUCCCCUGGACUAAACCAUCCAGGUAUCUCAGCAGUUUCCCACUGGUUUUCCUUUUCAAAAACAGCUAUUGGACUUCCCGUCCACCAUAGCUCACGGCUCAACCGCCGAACCUUUUAAAAACCACUUGUUGGGGGCCUUCGUCCUCCGAAGGUCCUCAAAAACAUGAUUUGACAAUAUCUUCCAAGUGAAAUGUAUGAACAGAUAUCUUCGGACCCAGAUUGUGAACAUGAAGUACGAUCAGGACGAAGCUUAAGCUAGACGAAGGAAGAUUGAGAUGAAGGACGGGCUGAUCACCAAGCCGUACGAGGGAUGGUGCAUAGCCGAAGCUAUGCGCAGGGGAGCUUCGGCAUAGUGGCAGAAAGGGGAACCGACUUAAAGAUGAAAAGACUACUUAGGCUUUGACAGAUCCUCAUAAGUCAUUAGCAAAUGUAGUGGACAUGAAUGUAAUUUUACAUGGGCUGCGUCCCACGUCUAUAAAUAGAUGAACAGUACUCCCGUACUGUUCACGCUGACUUGGCAUUUGCUUUUGCGUCACAUUUGUAUUUUCAUCUCCUUCCAAGCCGAAGGUACAUUUGUAAUUCGAUAUUGUCUCUAUUUUUCUAUGA
Long non-coding RNA from Zea mays, 11547 nucleotides. RefSeq lists it as uncharacterized. The record is from RefSeq and is a predicted model, not a curated record. The transcript is spliced from 3 exons. NCBI's taxonomy places the organism in Eukaryota, Viridiplantae, Streptophyta, Magnoliopsida, Poales, Poaceae.